RNAcentral lists this ribosomal RNA (301 nucleotides) under uncultured bacterium. Its description in RNAcentral is "partial 16S ribosomal RNA". It matches the Rfam family "Bacterial small subunit ribosomal RNA", at positions 509 to 808 of the family's 1533-position model. The record is from RNAcentral.
CAGUCGCCGCGGUAAAACGUAGGUCCCGAGCGUUGUCCGGAUUCAUUGGGCGUAAAGCGAGCGCAGGCGGUUAGAUAAGUCUGAAGUGAAAGGCAGUGGCUCAACCAUUGUAGGCUUCGGAAACUGUUUAACUUGAGUGCAGAAGGGGAGAGUGGAAUUCCAUGUGUAGCGGUGAAAUGCGUAGAUAUAUGGAGGAACACCGGUGGCGAAAGCGGCUCUCUGGUCUGUAACUGACGCUGAGGCUCGAAAGCGUGGGGAGCGAACAGGAUUAGAUACCCCAGUAGUCCCUGUCUCUUAUACA